UACGUAGGGGGCAAGCGUUGUCCGGAAUCAUUGGGCGUAAAGAGCGUGUAGGCGGCCCGGUAAGUCUGUUGUGAAAGUCCAGGGCUCAACCCUGGAAUGCCGAUGGAUACUGCCGGGCUAGAGUUCGGAAGAGGCGAGUGGAAUUCCUGGUGUAGCGGUGGAAUGCGCAGAUAUCAGGAGGAACACCUAUAGCGAAGGCAGCUCGCUGGGACGACACUGACGCUGAGACGCGAAAGCGUGGGGAGCGAUCCGG
Molecule: ribosomal RNA, 253 nt
Filed under: uncultured bacterium
Lineage: Bacteria
Description: partial 16S ribosomal RNA
Rfam family: Bacterial small subunit ribosomal RNA
Source: RNAcentral